Anopheles funestus (African malaria mosquito) is the source of this 1263-nucleotide long non-coding RNA. RefSeq lists it as uncharacterized. The record is from RefSeq and is a predicted model, not a curated record. The transcript is spliced from 3 exons. NCBI's taxonomy places the organism in Eukaryota, Metazoa, Arthropoda, Insecta, Diptera, Culicidae.
UCUUGGCUAAGGUGUCUUGACUAAGGUGUCUUGGCUAAGGUGUCUUGGCUAAGGUGUCUUGGCUAAGGUGUCUUGGCUAAGGUGUCUUGAAUAAUGUGUCUUGGCUAAGGUGUCUUGGCUAAGGUGUCUUGGCUAAGGUGACUUGGCUAAUGUGUCUCGGCUAAGGUGUCUUGGCUAAGGUGUCUUGGCUAAUGUGUCUUGGCUAAGGUGUCUUGGCUGAGGUGUCUUGGCUAAGGUGUCUUGGCUAAUGUGUCUCGGCUAAGGUGUCUUGGCUAAGGUGUCUUGGCUAAGGUGUCUUGGCUAAUGUGUCUUGGCUAAUGUGUCUUGGCUAAGGUGUCUUGGCUAAGGUGUCUUGGCUAAGGUGUCUUGGCUAAGGUGUCUUGGCUAAUGUGUCUCGGCUAAGGUGUCUUGGCUAAUGUGUCUUGGCUAAGGUGUCUUGGCUAAGGUGUCUUGGCUAAGGUGUCUCGGCUAAGGUGUCCUGGCUAAGGUGUCUUGGCUAAGGUGUCUUGGCUAAGGUGUCUUGGCUAAGGUGUCUUGGCUAAUGUGUCUCGGCUAAAGUGUCUUGGCUAAUGUGUCUUGGCUAAGGUGUCUUGGCUAAGGUGUCUUGGCUAUUGUGUCUUGGCUAAAGUGUCUUGGCUAAGGUGUCUUGGCUAAGGUGUCUUGGCUAAGGUGUCUUGGCUAAUGUGUCUUGGCUUAAGUGUCUUGGCUAAGGUGUCUUGGCUAAUGUGUCUCGGCCAAAGUGUCUUGGCUAAGGUGUCUUGACUAAGGUGUCUUGGCUAAUGUGUCUUGGCUAAGGUGUCUUGGCUAAUGUGUCUCGGCUAAGGUGUCUUGGCUAAGGUGUCUUGGCUAAUGUGUCUUGGCUAAAGUGUCUUGGCUAAGGUGUCUUGGCUAAUGUGUCUCGGCUAAGGUGUCUUGGCUAAGGUGUCUUGGCUAAGGUGUCUUGGCUAAGGUGUCUUGGCUAAUGUGUCUUAGCUAAGGUGUCUUGGCUAAUGUGUUUUGGCUAAGGUGUCUUGGCUAAUGUGUCUUGGCUAAGGUGUCUUGGCUAAAGUGUCUUGGCUAAGGUGUCUUGGCUAAGGUGUCUUGGCUAAGGUGUCUUGGCUAAGGUGUCUUGGCUAAUGUGUCUUGGCUAAGGUGUCUUGGCUAAUGUGUCUUGGCUAAUGUGUCUUGGCUAAGGUGUCUUGGCUAAUGUGUUUUUGCUAAGGUGUCUUGGCUAAGGUGUCUUGGCUAAGGUGUCUCGGCUAAUGUGUCUUGGCUAAGGUGUCU